CCCUUAGAUGUUCUGGGCUGCACGCGCGCUACACUGAUGCAUCCAGCGAGUUGUAACCUUGCUUGGUAAAGUUUGGUAAUCUGAGCCUAAUGUGCAUCGUGAUGGGAAUAGAGUUUUGCAACUAUUAGUCUUGAACGAGGAAUUCCUCGUAAGCACGAGUCAUCAGCUUGUGCUGAUUACGUCCCUGCCCUUUGUACACACCGCCCGUCGCUCCUACCGAUUGGGUGCUCCGGUGAAAUCUCGGGACGGCGGCUUGGUCGCUUGCGUCCGACUGCUGAAACUUGAUUAAACCAUAUCAUUUAGAGGAAGGUGAAGUCGUAACA
Molecule: ribosomal RNA, 323 nt
Filed under: uncultured eukaryote
Lineage: Eukaryota
Description: partial 18S ribosomal RNA
Rfam family: Eukaryotic small subunit ribosomal RNA
Source: RNAcentral